GACGAACGCUGGCGGCGUGCCUAAUACAUGCAAGUCGGGCGGGGUUUUGAGGGGCUUGCCCUUCAAAACCCAGCGGCGAACGGGUGAGUAACACGUGGGCAACCUGCCCGCAAGACCGGGAUAACUCCGGGAAACCGGAGCUAAUACCGGAUAGGACCCCGGAUCGCAUGAUCCGGGGUGGAAAGGCGGCCUCGGCUGCCACUUGCGGAUGGGCCCGCGGCGCAUUAGCUAGUUGGUGAGGUAACGGCUCACCAAGGUGACGAUGCGUAGCCGACCUGAGAGGGUGACCGGCCACACUGGGACUGAGACACGGCCCAGACUCCUACGGGAGGCAGCAGUAGGGAAUUUUCCGCAAUGGGCGCAAGCCUGACGGAGCAACGCCGCGUGAGCGAGGACGGCCUUCGGGUUGUAAAGCUCUGUUCUUCGGGAAGAACGGCGGGAGGGCGAACAACUCUCUCGCAUGACGGUACCGAAGGAGAAAGCCCCGGCUAACUAC
RNAcentral lists this ribosomal RNA (496 nucleotides) under uncultured Bacillota bacterium. RNAcentral describes it as "bacterial SSU rRNA". It matches the Rfam family "Bacterial small subunit ribosomal RNA", at positions 28 to 504 of the family's 1533-position model. Lineage: Bacteria; Bacillati; Bacillota. The record is from RNAcentral.